GGCUGGUCUGAGUGAAGUGGUGUGUGCAUUGAUCACGGCCAACUGCAGAUUUCUUUGUUCCUUCUUUCCCACUGCUACACUUGACUAGCCUAAA
Molecule: unclassified non-coding RNA, 94 nt
Organism: Vulpes vulpes (red fox)
Lineage: Eukaryota; Metazoa; Chordata; Mammalia; Carnivora; Canidae
Rfam family: Y RNA
About the family: Y RNAs are components of the Ro ribonucleoprotein particle (Ro RNP), in association with Ro60 and La proteins. The Y RNAs and Ro60 and La proteins are well conserved, but the function of the Ro RNP is not known. In humans the RNA component can be one of four small RNAs -- hY1, hY3, hY4 and hY5.
Source: Ensembl